GGUUGCGUAGUGUAGUUGGUUAUCACACCAGUCUAACACACUGGUGGUCCCCGGUUCGAGCCCAGGCGGAAUCA
This 74-nucleotide transfer RNA is filed under the name Choiromyces venosus 120613-1. RNAcentral describes it as "tRNA-Val". The record is from RNAcentral. Lineage: Eukaryota; Fungi; Ascomycota; Pezizomycetes; Pezizales; Tuberaceae.